RNAcentral lists this ribosomal RNA (915 nucleotides) under uncultured archaeon. RNAcentral's name for it is "bacterial SSU rRNA". It matches the Rfam family "Archaeal small subunit ribosomal RNA", at positions 1 to 923 of the family's 1478-position model. The record is from RNAcentral.
UUCCGGUUGAUCCCGCCGGACCUGACUGCUAUCGGAUUGAUACUAAGCCAUGCGAGUCAUUGUAGUAAUACAAGGCAGACGGCUCAGUAACGCGUAGUCAACCUACCCUAUGGACGGGGAUAACCUCGGGAAACUGAGAAUAAUACCCGAUAGAACAUUAUGCCUGGAAUGGUUUAUGUUUCAAAUAAUUUAUUGCCGUAGGAUGGGACUGCGGCCUAUCAGUUUGUUGGUGAGGUAAUGGCCCACCAAGACUAUUACAGGUACGGGCUCUGAGAGGAGUAGCCCGGAGAUGGGUACUGAGACACGGACCCAGGCCCUAUGGGGCGCAGCAGGCGAGAAAACUUUGCAAUGUGCGAAAGCACGACAAGGUUAAUCCGAGUGGUUUCUGCUAAAGGAACCUUUUGUCAGUCCUAGAAACACUGGUGAAUAAGGGGUGGGCAAGUUCUGGUGUCAGCCGCCGCGGUAAAACCAGCACCUCAAGUGGUCAGGAUGAUUAUUGGGCCUAAAGCAUCCGUAGCCUGCUUUGUUAGUUUUCGGUUAAAUCCAUACGCUCAACGUAUGGGCUGCCGGGAAUACUGCAAAGCUAGGGAGUGGGAGAGGUAGACGGUACUUGGUAGGAAGGGGUAAAAUCCUUUGAUCUAUUGAUGACCACCUGUGGCGAAGGCGGUCUACCAGAACACGUCCGACGGUGAGGGAUGAAAGCUGGGGGAGCAAACCGGAUUAGAUACCCGGGUAGUCCCAGCUGUAAACUAUGCAAACUCAGUGAUGCAUUGGCUUGAUGCCAGUGCAGUGCUGCAGGGAAGCCGUUAAGUUUGCCGCCUGGGAGGUACGUACGCAAGUAUGAAACUUAAAGGAAUUGGCGGGGGAGCACCACAAGGGGUGAAGCCUGCGGUUCAAUUGGAGUCAACGCCGGGA